Mya arenaria is the source of this 834-nucleotide long non-coding RNA. RefSeq lists it as uncharacterized. The record is from RefSeq and is a predicted model, not a curated record. NCBI's taxonomy places the organism in Eukaryota, Metazoa, Mollusca, Bivalvia, Myida, Myidae. The transcript has 2 exons.
UUUUUAGCUGACGCAUGCGCGUAAUAAUACAUCCGUCUAAAGGUUAAGCACGCUAAAUUUGACAGCGGUCAAUCGAAAUUCUGCAGAUAGGUUUUGGUAUACGAUAAAUAACUGACCAAAACAAAGGACGCCACAAUGAGUUUUGGAGGAGAUGACCAACAAAAAAUGGACCCUAAGCAUGUUAAGAUGGUCCAGGGUAUGGCAAUGCUGGCGGAAAUAAAUGAAGGAAUGAACAAAAUCACCCGCUUAUGUUGGGAUAUUUGUGAUGUGACACCAAGAGACAAAUUAGAUGGUCGCAACGAGACAUGUAUGCGAUAUUGUGUUGAGAGAUAUUUCGAUGCCUCACAGCUUAUCAGCAAUAGAUUGAGCAAAAAGGCUUCAGCACAUUCAGAUGGUUUUAGUUAAUUGAAAAGAACAUUUAGUGGAUUUUGUUCGUAUAUUCUUUACACAUAUUUUGAGCAACUGGCUUUGUCAAUCAUAGUCAGAUGUUUUUGUAAUUUGUUAAUGCAGAAGAUUGUUAUGGACAGUUUCAGUUGUGUAUGUAUGGUACUUGGAAACAUGAUGUAGUAAGUUUGUGCAGCACUAAAUGUGGAGGUGCCAAAUGUUUCCAGUGAUACAACAUAAGGCUUAGCAAAUUAUGAAUACUUGAUGCAUUUAUUCAUGAUAAACAACAUGUAUAGUUACACCUUCAGUCCCUUAUAUGGCACAAGUCCUAUGACUUGUCAUGUACAAAUCCUUCUGGUUUUCUUAUAGUCACACAUGUGGUUAUACCAUUCAAAAAAGUGUUUUCAUUUAGUACAAUAUAAACAUUACAAUAAAAGGUCAAUAUAUGAA